This 140-nucleotide small nuclear RNA is filed under the name Trichogramma pretiosum. RNAcentral describes it as "U4 spliceosomal RNA". It matches the Rfam family "U4 spliceosomal RNA". Rfam says of the family: U4 small nuclear RNA (U4 snRNA) is a component of the major U2-dependent spliceosome. The structure of U4 snRNA from yeast and human has been reported. The record is from RNAcentral. Lineage: Eukaryota; Metazoa; Arthropoda; Insecta; Hymenoptera; Trichogrammatidae.
AUCUUUGCGCAUGGGCAUUAUCGUAACCAAUGAGGUUCAACCGAGGUGCGAUUAUUGCUAGUUGAAAACUUUACCAAUACCCCGCCAAGACGAUGUGAAAAACCAUCGGCUAAGGCAAUUUUUGAAGGCCUCUACGGGGG